ACUCCUACGGGAGGCAGCAGUGGGGAAUAUUGCACAAUGGGCGCAAGCCUGAUGCAGCCAUGCCGCGUGUAUGAAGAAGGCCUUCGGGUUGUAAAGUACUUUCAGCAGUGAGGAAGGCGGUACGUUAAUAGUACGUGCUCGUUGAUCGUUUAGCUGCAGAAGAAGACACCGGCUAACUCCGUGCCAGCAGCCGCGGUAAUACGGAGGGUGCGAGCGUUAAUCGGAAUUACUGGGCGUAAAGCGCAUGCAGGUGGUUUGUUAAGUCAGAUGUGAAAGCCCGGGGC
Molecule: ribosomal RNA, 284 nt
Filed under: uncultured bacterium
Lineage: Bacteria
Description: partial 16S ribosomal RNA
Rfam family: Bacterial small subunit ribosomal RNA
Source: RNAcentral